RNAcentral lists this long non-coding RNA (218 nucleotides) under Homo sapiens (human). RNAcentral's name for it is "non-protein coding lnc-TPBG-3:1". The record is from RNAcentral. Lineage: Eukaryota; Metazoa; Chordata; Mammalia; Primates; Hominidae.
GAAAGAGUAAAUCCUAAAUAGACUGGAAGCUGAGAACAGACAGCCGGAAAGAAGUAAUCAGCAGACAAAGCCAGGAACAUCAGAAGUGUCGAGUGGCUCAGAUUUGAAAGAAACAAUCCUUUUGUAGACAGAGUGAUAGAGGAGCUGUAUCUGGAGGCUCUCACGUGGCAGGACUUGAAGAAUAUGGCCUUCCAUUCACAAUCCAGCAGCAAGGAGAA